Molecule: long non-coding RNA, 5393 nt
Filed under: Lactuca sativa (garden lettuce)
Lineage: Eukaryota; Viridiplantae; Streptophyta; Magnoliopsida; Asterales; Asteraceae
Description: long non-coding RNA (LSAT_LNC003473)
Source: RNAcentral
GAUAGCUUCAUUUUAUUUACUUAUUUUUAUAGUUUAUUUUAGUACAUUUCAUUCGCAUUUUAGUUAACUUUCAUGCAUAUUUUCCCUUUUGUUAUUUUUAUGACCAUUUCGGGGUACUUUCUAGUUUCUUGAGCAUUAUUGCAGAUUUUCUUGGAAACUAGCGGGGCGGCACUUUUGCGAGGCGAUUGGGCUUGAAGGGAAUUGGAGGUUUCAUGCUUGAUGGCUAUGAAGGUGAUUCAUGGGGUGGACUUGUCAAUUGCUUGAAGGCUUGGAAGAAUUGAGCUUUAAAUUUGAAAGAUGCGGGGGAACAUUCAAGCGUAUGAAAAUUAUUAAUCGGACGAGUUCACGAGCAUUGGAGGAUUUAGAGAGGUCAAAUUGGGCUUUAAAUAAAGAAAAACUUGAAGAAAAUGGGCUAGGAGGUGAUUGGAUUCGAUCUGGGCUAGUGGGAUAUGCUUUAGAGGCCCAAAAUCUCAAAGGAGCCCAUGUCAGGUACCACCCGCGCAACCCACCCGCGCAGCAGCACGCGGGUCGCGCAAGGCCCUGCAGGGGCAAUUUCGGGAAUCCUUCUUUUGAGCUAUUUGAGGAAGGUUGGUGCCCAUCUUUUGCACACUCUUGGACAUCCGAUUUUUGAAGAUUCUCUCUGGAGUUUUGGAGACUUUUGAAGGCCAAGAACCCUUGAAGAACAUCAUAUUUUUACCUCUUGAUUCUUGCUUAAUGUUUGGUACAAAUUUCUCUAACUUUGUUUCUUUGUGUUUAGCCAUGCUUGGCUAAACUAAUCUUGGUUGACUUUUGGUUAAUCCUUUGAACUUUUGUUGAAUGUUGAAGAAUCCAUGAACAUGUUCUUAAAUCUUUAUGGGAAUGUUUUGUGUUUUAACAUCUUAUCACUACUUGUAUGUUUUAGUUCAUGAGUUUAAAUGUGUUUGUGGUGAUUAGUUGGCUAAUUUCUUGAUUAAGUAAAGGAUCCUCAAAUUAGCAAGCAACAAAUGAUUUUUGUGUUGUUUUUGCUUCACACAAUCAUAAAAACAUUUCCUCCAACAUGGUGGUGAAAGCAUUUGACCCCUCUUGGAUUUGGUGACUUUUUGGUUCUUAAUGCUAGUUGACUUUCACUAAUUACAUGCUAUUUGGAAUUAGUGACUUUGACUAAGGAAAUUGUUAUGAGCUUCUCUAGCCAUUUCAACAAUUAAGAAAAGUCUAGGUAAUCUCAAGCUCCUUGGAUUACUAUAGCCAAAUUAAGGAUUUAAAUCAAAGUAUUGCACCAUUGGAUUCUAAUGAUAUGUUCAUCAAAAGUCAAAGUGAGGAAACUUUAAGUCAACCAUCUCUCCCUUAUUGAUUUUACAUCAAACUCUUAUUUUUGUUGCAUUUGUCUAUUUAAAUCAUAGUUAAUUCUAGUUUGUUUCAAGUAUUUCAAAACACCAAAACCCCCCAUUUUAUUUUUAUUGUCAUUUUACAAGUAUUUUUACAAAGAGAUUUUUCAUAGAGUUAUAAAUUGAACCAAUCUCCGUGGAUUCGAUCCCUUUACCACUAUACACUAUUUUAGUGUGUAAUAUUUAGGGUUAUUAUUUGUGUUGGCCUCGACAACCACCAAAUUUUUGGCGCCGUUGCCGGGGAUUGGUUUUGAUUUAAUCAGUUUGUUUCUCUAUGCCUACAUCUCAUUGUGCAGGUACUCUAAUUUAAAACCCCGAAAUUAAAAAAAAAAGUAUGAUUUGGAAAUGAACACUCCUUGCACCGAAGACCAACUUUCUGAGCUAGCUCAGUUAGUUAUGAUGAUUGAAAGUGACCAAAGUGUGCAGCCCACACCUCUUCUUUGCGAUUUUUGUGCCCAAAAUGGACAUCAUUCCGACACGUGUCCAUAUUUACAAGGAGAAUGGGAAGAAGUGCAAGAUAAGGGAAGCUACUACCGGUCAAACCAAUGGAGUUAUGAUCAGCCUCAACAUGAUCAAUGGUGGGACAACAACCAAGUUUGGGGAAAUAACCAUUACCAAAACCCAUACCAAACAUGGGGAAAUAACCAAUACCAACCAACUCCACUGUUCCAAGAACCCUAUCCUUACCCUCCUCAACAAACUGAAACGCCAAGCAUGUCCUUAGAGGACAUUGUGAAAAGCAUUGCCACUUCUACCCAAAUUUUCCAGGAAACAACUCAAGCUAGCCUCAAAAGCUUAGAGCAACAAAUAACACAAAUUGCUCAAUCAUUGAGUAUAGUGGAAUCUCAACACAAAUUACCAUCUGAAGAGAGCCCAUGUCAUAACGCAUGUUGCAUUCCUUUGAAAGAUGAGAAAACUUUUGAUGCCCCAAGAGUGUUAUAUGAAGAAGAGGAAGAAGAAGUAGAAGUGGAAGAAGUUGUCAAAGAGGAAGAAGAAAUUAAGAAUGUUGUCAAUGAAACUGUAAAGGAAGUAAUAGGGGUUAACGAAAGAGAGGUUGAGUCACCCACUACCAUUGAGAAACUAACUCCAGUGGUAGACCAACCACAAGAGCCACAAACGAUAAAUUUGUCGGACUCUUCAAAGGUUACCUAUCCCGAGAAAGAAGACGCCCAACCGGUCACCUACUCAACCACCAUGUCAAAGAGGGAAGAGUUGGUCACCUUACGGAACAAGUACGAGAGAGAAUAUGGUUGGAUGAUUUCUAUUAUCAAAGGUCUAAGUCCGGUAUGGUUCUCCCGUAAAAAGAAAGUCAAAUACAAGAAAAGAGUCCCAAUGGAGGUGUGGAAAUUAAAAAAUGUAGACACGGGGCAAAUUUGCAAGGUUAAUGGACAUCGAUUGAAGCCAUUCAAUGAAGGUUUUGAUUCAAAUGUCCAAGAUGUCGUCCAUUUGGACGCCCCAAAGUGUUAAAGUGAAGUUUGGAGGCGUCUCGCCAAAGACGUUAAAGAAGGGCAUUUUUGGAAAGCAUUGUGUUUUCGUGUUUUUAAUUUGAACAAAAUGAGUUUUGAAGAUGUUUUUGGGAUUCAAAAGAGUUGUUUUUUGAAGAAAUCAAGAGUUUCUAGGUGUUUGGGGCUGUCCGAAGCAAGAACGGGUGAAAAACGAAGAAAAAUGAAGCGAAAAUGAAGAUCAGCAUCAGCGGGUUGCGCGACCCGCGUGCUGUUGCGCGGGUGGGUUGCGCGGCCAGGUGUGAUGAAGCGACAUUGGCCCAAGACUUAACUGCAAGGUCUGCGCGACCCGCGUGCUACACUGCGCGACCCGCGCACUGUGCUGGGCAAUUUGGGCUAUUUUUGGCUAUUAUUUGACCAAGUGUUGACCAAAGGUUUUAAUGAGUUGACCUUUUGACUUUUCUUGACCAACAUUGACCGAAAUUGACCCUUUUUGACCCAUAGAUUAAAAUGUUCAGCUUCCCUUCUUCUUCAUUUAAUCAUCUUGACCUCCCACUCCAUUCCUCUCAUAUAACCUUCCAGCACCCACCUCGCCGGAAAAUUCAAGAUUGUCGGAGUUCUACUGGUCGUAAUUUCACGAAACCACCACCACAGACAUCUCCCAUCAUCCAAUCCUCCGAUUUAGGUCAUUUUUGCCCUUACCUUAAGCAUUGAGGACAAUGCUUGUUCUUAAGCUUGGGGUGGGGCAUUUCAUUUUCCUUUUAUAUUUUUUUUCCAUGCAUUUUUAAUUAGGUUGCAUAACAUUUUAGAUUUAAGCUAAUUUUCAUUCAUUUUUUUUAAAUCCAAAAAAAUUUUAUUUUUUCUUUUUCACCUUUUAUAUUUUUGCAUAACAUUUAGCUUAGGCAUUAACAUUCAUGCAUUUUUGUUGUCUGUUUAUUCUCACCCCUGGAUGCCAUGGAAUAGGUUCACAGUUAUUGUAUCAUUAUUGGUCCAGGAUCUUGUUGUUAUCUCACCCAUCGAACCGGGACCAUUAGCUGCAGUUUGGGAUCUCAUACUUGGGAUCAGAUGCUGGUAGCUUAAAGGGGUAAGUGAUCAUGGACAGGUAGUUUUCAUGAAGAAUUAUGCAUACAAUACUAAUGACUGUAGGAUAUACUAUAGCAAUGGAUGUCUUAGCCUUGCGGUCACUACCGCCGAGAGGAUCACACUUGAUCAUGUUUGAACCGUUAGGAUGAAGCACUAGUGCUUGUCCCCGAGUAGAAUCCAUAUCCGGUCUCUUUACAUCACCAUAUCUUUUUGCGAUUUUCUUAGGAUUUUAGAGAAGUCUUUUAGUCCGCAUGUGGACAUUUUCAUUAUUUUUGAAAAAAAAAAUCACAAAUUUGAAGAGGAGCUUACAUUAUAUCUUUAUGCUCCACACAUGGUCAUUUUCUCGCUUAGACCAUUCGGAUUAUAUUACUACCCUUUCGGUUCCACUUACACACUUUAGGAACCAAAUUUUGAGUCAAAGGGUUGUUAUUACAUUACCUUCAAGUAUAACAAAAAAAACAAAAAAAAAGGGCAGGCAAAUUCCCAGCUGCAGAAAUCUGAGAAGGGUGACCGGUUCAAUUAUUGAACUAAAUCUUCCAACAUUUUGGUCACCCGGCGUUUGAUAUUCAUUUAUUUAGGUAUGUUUUAUUGUAUAUAGAUCGAGUUGUUUUUCGCAAAUUGGUGAUGUUAGGGAGACUGUCGAGUCAGAUACUACGGGAGGUUUGGGCCAACACCAAGUGAUCCGAUUCCUACAACGGUGCCCGAGCGAUUAAACCUAGUUACACAUGAGAGAAACCGGCAAACGUGAGAUCAGAGUGUACAUUUAAAGAAGAGCUCCACCCGAGCCCAUCCAGCUGCUUUCUCCCUACUACAGAUAUUCUUCAUUGUAUGCAUGUUCCAUUGAGGCUGCGACUGCUCAUCCCUCCUUACUCACCUAAAGGAGUUAUCCUGGCUGUGGUUUAUGGUACCAUUGUCAUCGGAUGAAAAAUUCGUGAGGUAAUAGCAAGAUCAAUUUUGACCAUGUUGACUAACGGUGAUCAGGUUCUGCGGCUCUAUCCAUUCUUUUUAUUUUCUCUAGGAUAGUUCAUCCCAAGUUCAUUUUAGUCUUGUCUUACUUGAGGACAAGUAAGGUUUAAGCUUGGGGUGAUUUGAUAGUUAGUUUUGUUUACUUCUUUUUAUAGUUUAUUUUAGCAUAUUUCAUUCAUAAUUUAGAUAAUUUCCAUGCAUAUUUUCCAUUUUGUUAUUUUAUGACUAUUUCGGGUACUUUCGAAUCUUGUGAGCAUAAUUGCAGGUUUUCGGGUCUAGCGGAGCGGGAGUGUUCGGGACGUAUGGGAAGCGAUGAGAUUUGGUAGACAAAAAUGAUGUUAGGCUUGGUGAUUGUGGAGAUUAUGCAUGGAGCGAGCUUGAUGGUUAUUUGAAGGCUUGGAGAGAAAUAAACUUUAAAUUUGCAAGAUGCGGGAGUUUAUUCAAGCAUACGUAGAUUUUUAAUCGGGAGAGUGCACGAGCUUUGGAGGAUUUGGAGAGGUCAAAUUGGGCUUAAAAUGAAGAAAAACUUGAAGAAAAU